GACGAACGCUGGCGGCGUGCCUAAUACAUGCAAGUAGAACGCUGAAGGAGGAGCUUGCUCUUCUGGAUGAGUUGCGAACGGGUGAGUAACGCGUAGGUAACCUGCCUGGUAGCGGGGGAUAACUAUUGGAAACGAUAGCUAAUACCGCAUAACAGUAGAUGUUGCAUGACAUUUGCUUAAAAGGUGCAAUUGCAUCACUACCAGAUGGACCUGCGUUGUAUUAGCUAGUUGGUGGGGUAACGGCUCACCAAGGCGACGAUACAUAGCCGACCUGAGAGGGUGAUCGGCCACACUGGGACGGAGACACGGCCCAGACUCCUACGGGAGGCAGCAGUAGGGAAUCUUCGGCAAUGGACGGAAGUCUGACCGAGCAACGCCGCGUGAGUGAAGAAGGUUUUCGGAUCGUAAAGCUCUGUUGUAAGAGAAGAACGAGUGUGAGAGUGGAAAGUUCACACUGUGACGGUAUCUUACCAGAAAGGGACGGCUAACUACGUG
Molecule: ribosomal RNA, 495 nt
Filed under: uncultured bacterium
Lineage: Bacteria
Description: partial 16S ribosomal RNA
Rfam family: Bacterial small subunit ribosomal RNA
Source: RNAcentral